CACGUUUGACAUGUCUAGUUUGGUCGGCAGAGAUGCCUUCCUUCAGUUCGGCUGGCUAGAACACAGGUGCUGCAUGGCUGUCGUCAGCUCGUGUCGUGAGAUGUUGGGUUAAGUCCGCAACGAGCGCAACCCUCGCUACUAGUUGCUACCAGGUUAAGCUGAGCACUCUAGUGGAACUGCCGGUGGCAAGCCGGAGGAAGGUGGGGAUGACGUCAAGUCCUCAUCGG
RNAcentral lists this ribosomal RNA (227 nucleotides) under uncultured bacterium. RNAcentral's name for it is "partial 16S ribosomal RNA". It matches the Rfam family "Bacterial small subunit ribosomal RNA", at positions 979 to 1198 of the family's 1533-position model. The record is from RNAcentral.